CAAACCUCUAAUCGAAAAAAACUACCCGCUGAGUUUAACAUAUCAAUAACCGAAGAAA
This 58-nucleotide ribosomal RNA is filed under the name Sciuro-hypnum plumosum. RNAcentral's name for it is "partial 26S ribosomal RNA". Lineage: Eukaryota; Viridiplantae; Streptophyta; Bryopsida; Hypnales; Brachytheciaceae. The record is from RNAcentral.